RNAcentral lists this ribosomal RNA (481 nucleotides) under uncultured bacterium. RNAcentral's name for it is "bacterial SSU rRNA". It matches the Rfam family "Bacterial small subunit ribosomal RNA", at positions 29 to 506 of the family's 1533-position model. The record is from RNAcentral.
ACGAACGCUGGCGGCGUGCUUAACACAUGCAAGUCGAACGGUAGAUCCUUUCGGGGAUUGAGAGUGGCGCACGGGUGAGUAAAGAAUAGGAACAUGCCGAAUGGUUUGGGAUAACCACGGGAAACUGUGGCUAAUACCAGAUACGCUAGAGAUAGGAAAGGGGGCCUCUACUUGUAAGCUCUCGCCAAUCGAGUGGCCUAUUUCCCAUUAGCUAGUUGGUAGGGUAAAGGCCUACCAAGGCAACGAUGGGUAGCUGGUCUGAGAGGACGAUCAGCCACACUGGAACUGAGACACGGUCCAGACUCCUACGGGAGGCAGCAGUGGGGAAUAUUGCACAAUGGGGGAAACCCUGAUGCAGCAACGCCGCGUGAGUGAAGAAGGUCUUUGGAUUGUAAAGCUCUUUCGGCUGGGGAGAAGGGUAUUGGGGUUAAUACCCCCGGUAUUUGACGGUACCAGCCUAAGAAGCACUGGCUAAUUCCGU